This 253-nucleotide ribosomal RNA is filed under the name uncultured bacterium. RNAcentral's name for it is "partial 16S ribosomal RNA". It matches the Rfam family "Bacterial small subunit ribosomal RNA", at positions 524 to 776 of the family's 1533-position model. The record is from RNAcentral.
UACGGGGGGGGCAAGCGUUGUUCGGAAUUACUGGGCGUCAAGGGCUCGUAGGUGGCCAACUAAGUCAGACGUGAAAUCCCUCGGCUUAACCGGGGAACUGCGUCUGAUACUGGAUGGCUUGAGUUUGGGAGAGGGACGCGGAAUUCCAGGUGUAGCGGUGAAAUGCGUAGAUAUCUGGAGGAACACCGGUGGCGAAGGCGGCGUCCUGGACCAACACUGACACUGAUGAGCGAAAGCCAGGGGAGCAAACGGG